Molecule: ribosomal RNA, 703 nt
Filed under: uncultured bacterium
Lineage: Bacteria
Description: bacterial SSU rRNA
Rfam family: Bacterial small subunit ribosomal RNA
Source: RNAcentral
UGGGUAACCUGCCCUUGAAGUAGGGGAUAACACUUGGAAACAGGUGCUAAUACCGUAUAACAACCAAAACCACCUGGUUUUGGUUUAAAAGACGGCUUCGGCUGUCACUUUAGGAUGGACCCGCGGCGUAUUAGCUUGUUGGUAAGGUAACGGCCUACCAAGGCGAUGAUACGUAGCCGACCUGAGAGGGUAAUCGGCCACAUUGGGACUGAGACACGGCCCAAACUCCUACGGGAGGCAGCAGUAGGGAAUCUUCCACAAUGGACGAAAGUCUGAUGGAGCAACGCCGCGUGAGUGAUGAAGGGUUUCGGCUCGUAAAACUCUGUUGUUGGAGAAGAACAGGUGUCAGAGUAACUGUUGACAUCUUGACGGUAUCCAACCAGAAAGCCACGGCUAACUACGUGCCAGCAGCCGCGGUAAUACGUAGGUGGCAAGCGUUGUCCGGAUUUAUUGGGCGUAAAGCGAGCGCAGGCGGUUUUUUAGGUCUGAUGUGAAAGCCUUCGGCUUAACCGGAGAAGUGCAUCGGAAACCGGGAGACUUGAGUGCAGAAGAGGACAGUGGAACUCCAUGUGUAGCGGUGAAAUGCGUAGAUAUAUGGAAGAACACCAGUGGCGAAGGCGGCUGUCUGGUCUGUAACUGACGCUGAGGCUCGAAAGCAUGGGUAGCGAACAGGAUUAGAUACCCUGGUAGUCCAUGCCGUAAA